AAGAGGGACUCAGAUCACCUGGAAUUAUGGCAAUGUCUUGCAAGGAUACUUCUGAAAAUCGGGUGUCACGGGAAGCUGAACUUUGCAUCCCAGUUCUGAAACAUACAGCAACCUCAUGGAGACAGAUGCAUCACUCGGCAUUUUGGGGCGGUAGCGAGUUCAGUGACCUGCCAGAUUUCUUAGCAUUAACUUGAAAGAGAAGACACUUAUUUGAUUUGAUUUGAUUUCUACUAGUCAAGUGGGCACCUGGAUUAAGCAGACUCUCCCCCAGGCACCCCGGAGGCCUCUGACAUCCCUUAUGUCCAGCCCAGACAUGGCCUUUCUGUGGCCUCAGCGUAUCUGCCCAGUCCAAUCGGCUAUAGCCAGAAUAAAAAGGGAGGAAGAUCCAAGAGAGGGAAGGAGGCUUUCCCAGCUACUUUCCUGCUAACCAGGGCAGAGGCUGGUCUACAUCCCCCUAUCCAGGUGGCCCCUGCAGUCAUGGCUUUUCUGCUUCUAGAAGCCAUCCCUGAGAACAUCAUUGCAGAACUCAAAAUACAUUGCAUCAUACAAAAUGAAGUGGAGAAUUAAGGUAAUUAUCCAAUUAUUAAAAACCAUUUCUUAUUCGUUAGCUAAA
RNAcentral lists this long non-coding RNA (613 nucleotides) under Homo sapiens (human). RNAcentral's name for it is "long independently transcribed non-coding RNA 1803 (LINC01803)". Lineage: Eukaryota; Metazoa; Chordata; Mammalia; Primates; Hominidae. The record is from RNAcentral.